CCGGCGCCGGGGCGCGCGGCAGCAGCCGUUGGGGUCCCGCGCGCGAGCGCCCGCCCCCAACAGCCGCCUCUGAGGGACCCCAACGGUCCCCGCCCACCUCAUCCGCAGGGGAGGGCCGGAGCUGUCACGCCCGCGGGCCUCCUCUGUGCGCUCUUCAUCAAACACCGGGGAGCUCCGAGCGGGAGGUGUCGCGGGAAAGCAGCGCCCUCCCUCUGGGCUGCCUCCGUCGCCAGCCCCAGCCCCGCAGGUAGGGCACCGGCACCCCGGUGGAGUGAAGCGCCCGCCGCCCGCGCCCCUGCGGGUUACCGGUGCCAAGUACUGCGGCGGGGUGGGUGCUGCUGCUCUGCACCCAGCGCCGCUCGCUGCUCAGCGCCAGCCCCCGAGGAAGCACCUUGCAGCCAAGAAAACGAAGUGUGGCGAGGGAUCACUUAUGAAUAUAUUGAAGAGACCAGAUCUCCCAUUGCUGAGCCUAUGUCAGUGAAUACUGAGACUUUCUUACCUUUCUCCUGGCGUAUAUGCCCUGCAAAGCAAGGGACAAUGGAAUCAAGAAAUAAACAUCUGACCACGUCACAAAUCCAAUUAUCUCUGACAAGGCUAGUAAAGUCAAGUGAAAAACAAAGCAACACUGUCCGGAAGAAGAUUUGUAUUUUGGAUCAUACUGGAGAAGUACACCUGUGCACCUGGAAUUUUUGUGCCAGCAGCUUCUUGUUCCACAUCUCAAGGAGGGUAUGGUCCCAUUAG
RNAcentral lists this long non-coding RNA (741 nucleotides) under Apteryx owenii (little spotted kiwi). RNAcentral's name for it is "lncRNA (ENSAOWG00000006857.1)". Lineage: Eukaryota; Metazoa; Chordata; Aves; Apterygiformes; Apterygidae. The record is from RNAcentral.